Molecule: ribosomal RNA, 254 nt
Filed under: uncultured bacterium
Lineage: Bacteria
Description: partial 16S ribosomal RNA
Rfam family: Bacterial small subunit ribosomal RNA
Source: RNAcentral
UACGUAGGGUGCGAGCGUUAAUCGGAAUUACUGGGCGUAAAGCGUGCGUAGGCGGUUUUUCAAGCUUGAUGUGAAAGCCCCGGGCUUAACCUGGGAAUGGCAUUGAGGACUGAGAGGCUAGAGUGCGGCAGAGGGAGGUGGAAUUCCACGUGGAGCAGUGAAAGGCGUAGAGAUGUGGAGGAGCACAGAGGGGGAAGGCAGCCUCCUGGGCCGACACUGACGCUGAGGGCACGAAAGCGUGGGGAGCAAACAGG